AUUGAACGCUGGCGGCAGGCUUAACACAUGCAAGUCGAGCGGGGUGAUGGUGCUUGCACUAUCACUUAGCGGCGGACGGGUGAGUAAUGCUUAGGAAUCUGCCUAUUAGUGGGGGACAACAUCUCGAAAGGGAUGCCAAUACCGCAUACGUCCUACGGGAGAAAGCAGGGGAUCACUUGUGACCUUGCGCUAAUAGAUGAGCCUAAGUCGGAUUAGCUAGUUGGUGGGGUAAAGGCCUACCAAGGCGACGAUCUGUAGCGGGUCUGAGAGGAUGAUCCGCCACACUGGGACUGAGACACGGCCCAGACUCCUACGGGAGGCGGCAGUGGGGAAUAUUGGACAAUGGGGGGAACCCUGAUCCAGCCAUGCCGCGUGUGUGAAGAAGGCCUUAUGGUUGUAAAGCACUUUAAGCGAGGAGGAGGCUCUUUUGGUUAAUACCCAAGAUGAGUGGACGUUACUCGCAGAAUAAGCACCGGCUAACUCUGUGCCAGCAGCCGCCGUAA
RNAcentral lists this ribosomal RNA (503 nucleotides) under uncultured bacterium. RNAcentral's name for it is "partial 16S ribosomal RNA". It matches the Rfam family "Bacterial small subunit ribosomal RNA", at positions 30 to 523 of the family's 1533-position model. The record is from RNAcentral.